GUGCCAAAGAGACAACAACCCGACCAUAGAAAAAACAACAGCAGAAGGUCACCAACAGGUCUUCAAUGUAGCGAGAAAUUCCCGCACCCGGAGGCGUCCUUCAGCUGGCCCCUAAACAAAUAUAUACUAGUUCAGUGAUAAUGAACGCCAUACUAAUUUCCAAAUUGUACACAAGAAACUAAAAUUAAAAUAAUACAAGACUAACAAAGGCCAGAGGCUCCUGACUUGGGACAGGCGCAAAAAUGUGGCGGGGUUAAACAUGUUUGUGAGAUCUCAACCCUCCCCCUAUACCUCUAGCCAAUGUAGAAAAGUAAACGCAUAACACUACGCACAUUAAAAUUCAGUUCAAGAGAAGUCCGAGUCUGAUGUCAGAAGAUGUAACCAAAGAAAAUAAACAAAAUGACAAUAAUACAUAAAUAACAACAGACUACUAGCAGUUAACUGACAUGCCAGCUCCAGACUUCAAUUAAAGUGACUGAAAGAUUAUGAUUUCAUCAUAUGAACAUCAGGC
RNAcentral lists this long non-coding RNA (511 nucleotides) under Mytilus galloprovincialis (Mediterranean mussel). Lineage: Eukaryota; Metazoa; Mollusca; Bivalvia; Mytilida; Mytilidae. The record is from RNAcentral.